This 253-nucleotide ribosomal RNA is filed under the name uncultured bacterium. RNAcentral describes it as "partial 16S ribosomal RNA". It matches the Rfam family "Bacterial small subunit ribosomal RNA", at positions 524 to 776 of the family's 1533-position model. The record is from RNAcentral.
UACAGAGGUCCCAAGCGUUGUUCGGAAUUACUGGGCGUAAAGGGCUCGUAGGUGGCCAACUAAGUCAGACGUGAAAUCCCCAGGCUUAACCUGGGAACUGCGUCUGAUACUGGAUGGCUUGAAUUCGGGAGAGGGAUGCAGAAUUCCAGGUGUAGCGGUGAAAUGCGUAGAUAUCUGGAGGAAUACCGGUGGCGAAGGCGGCAUCCUGGACCGAGAUUGACACUGAGGAGCGAAAGCUAGGGGAGCAAACGGG